GAUGAACGCUGGCGGCGUGCCUAAUACAUGCAAGUCGAGCGAACGGACGAGAAGCUUGCUUCUCUGAUGUUAGCGGCGGACGGGUGAGUAACACGUGGAUAACCUACCUAUAAGACUGGGAUAACUUCGGGAAACCGGAGCUAAUACCGGAUAAUAUUUUGAACCGCAUGGUUCAAAAGUGAAAGACGGUCUUGCUGUCACUUAUAGAUGGAUCCGCGCUGCAUUAGCUAGUUGGUAAGGUAACGGCUUACCAAGGCAACGAUGCAUAGUCGACCUGAGAGGGUGAUCGGCCACACUGGAACUGAGACACGGUCCAGACUCCUACGGGAGGCAGCAGUAGGGAAUCUUCCGCAAUGGGCGAAAGCCUGACGGAGCAACGCCGCGUGAGUGAUGAAGGUCUUCGGAUCGUAAAACUCUGUUAUUAGGGAAGAACAUAUGUGCAAGUAACUGUACACAUCUUGACGGUACCUAAUCAGAAAGCCACGGCUAACUACGUG
This 497-nucleotide ribosomal RNA is filed under the name uncultured bacterium. Its description in RNAcentral is "partial 16S ribosomal RNA". It matches the Rfam family "Bacterial small subunit ribosomal RNA", at positions 28 to 507 of the family's 1533-position model. The record is from RNAcentral.